UACGUAGGGUGCGAGCGUUGUCCGGAAUUAUUGGGCGUAAAGGGCUCGUAGGCGGUUUGUCGCGUCGGGAGUGAAAACCUUGGGCUUAACUCAGGGCUUGCUUUCGAUACGGGCAGACUAGAGGUAUGCAGGGGAGAACGGAAUUCCUGGUGUAGCGGUGAAAUGCGCAGAUAUCAGGAGGAACACCGGUGGCGAAGGCGGUUCUCUGGGCAUGAUCUGACGCUGAGGAGCGAAAGCGUGGGGAGCAAACAGG
This 253-nucleotide ribosomal RNA is filed under the name uncultured bacterium. RNAcentral's name for it is "partial 16S ribosomal RNA". It matches the Rfam family "Bacterial small subunit ribosomal RNA", at positions 524 to 776 of the family's 1533-position model. The record is from RNAcentral.